GAUGAACGCUAGCUACAGGCUUAACACAUGCAAGUCGAGGGGAAACGGCAUCGAAAGCUUGCUUUUGAUGGGCGUCGACCGGCGCACGGGUGAGUAACGCGUAUCCAACCUGCCCAUCACUUGGGAAUAACCUUGCGAAAGUAAGACUAAUGCCCAAUGACAUCCCACGAAGGCAUCCGAAUGGGAUUAAAGAUUUAUCGGUGAUGGAUGGGGAUGCGUCUGAUUAGCUUGUUGGCGGGGUGACGACCCACCAAGGCAACGAUCAGUAGGGGUUCUGAGAGGAAGGUCCCCCACAUUGGAACUGAGACACGGUCCAAACUCCUACGGGAGGCAGCAGUGAGGAAUAUUGGUCAAUGGGCGAGAGCCUGAACCAGCCAAGUAGCGUGCAGGAUGACGGCCCUAUGGGUUGUAAACUGCUUUUAUAAGGGAAUAAAGUGGGUCACGUGUGACUUUUUGCAUGUACCUUAUGAAUAAGGACCGGCUAAUUCCGUG
This 492-nucleotide ribosomal RNA is filed under the name uncultured bacterium. RNAcentral's name for it is "partial 16S ribosomal RNA". It matches the Rfam family "Bacterial small subunit ribosomal RNA", at positions 28 to 507 of the family's 1533-position model. The record is from RNAcentral.